RNAcentral lists this ribosomal RNA (467 nucleotides) under uncultured bacterium. RNAcentral describes it as "partial 16S ribosomal RNA". It matches the Rfam family "Bacterial small subunit ribosomal RNA", at positions 28 to 506 of the family's 1533-position model. The record is from RNAcentral.
GACGAACGCUGGCGGCGUGCUUAACACAUGCAAGUCGAACGGAAAGGCCCUGCUUUUGUGGGGUGCUCGAGUGGCGAACGGGUGAGUAACACGUGAGUAACCUGCCCUUGACUUUGGGAUAACUUCAGGAAACUGGGGCUAAUACCGGAUAGGAGCUCCUGCUGCAUGGUGGGGGUUGGAAAGUUUCGGCGGUUGGGGAUGGACUCGCGGCUUAUCAGCUUGUUGGUGGGGUAGUGGCUUACCAAGGCUUUGACGGGUAGCCGGCCUGAGAGGGUGACCGGCCAAAUUGGGAGUGAGAUACGGCCCAGACUCCUACGGGAGGCAGCGGUGGGGAAAAUUGCACAAGGGGCGGAAGCCGUAUGCAGCAACGCCGGGUGCGGGAUGACGGCCUUCGGGUUGAAAACCGCUUUCGCCUGUGACGAAGGGUGAGUGACGGUAAUGGGGAAAAAAACACCGGAUAACCACGU